GAAUCAACGCUGGCGGCGUGCCUAAUACAUGCAAGUCGAACGCGAAAACCCCGCAAGGGGUUAGUAGAGUGGCAAACGGGUGAGUAACGCGUGGGCGACCUACCUCAGAGUGGGGGAUAACCUUCCGAAAGGAGGGCUAAUACCGCAUAACAUUCCGUGUUUGGAUACACGGACAUCAAAGCCGGGGAUCGCAAGACCUGGCGCUUGGAGAGGGGCCCGCGUCCGAUUAGCUAGUUGGUGAGGUAACGGCUCACCAAGGCUUCGAUCGGUAUCCGGCCUGAGAGGGCGGACGGACACACUGGGACUGAGACACGGCCCAAACUCCUACGGGAGGCAGCAGUGGGGAAUAUUGCACAAUGGGGGAAACCCUGAUGCAGCGACGCCGCGUGAGCGAAGAAGUAUUUCGGUAUGUAAAGCUCUAUCAGCAGGGAAGAAAAUGACGGUACCUGACUAAGAAGCACCGGCUAAAUACGUGCCAGCAGCCGCGGUAAUACGUAUGGUGCAAGCGUUAUCCGGAUUUACUGGGUGUAAAGGGAGCGUAGACGGCUGUGUAAGUCUGAAGUGAAAGCCCGGGGCUCAACCCCGGGACUGCUUUGGAAACUACGCAGCUAGAGUGUCGGAGAGGUAAGUGGAAUUCCCAGUGUAGCGGUGAAAUGCGUAGAUAUUGGGAGGAACACCAGUGGCGAAGGCGGCUUACUGGACGAUGACUGACGUUGAGGCUCGAAAGCGUGGGGAGCAAACAGGAUUAGAUACCCUGGUAGUCCACGCCGUAAACGAUGACUACUAGGUGUCGGGGAGCAAAGCUCUUCGGUGCCGCAGCAAACGCAAUAAGUAGUCCACCUGGGGAGUACGUUCGCAAGAAUGAAACUCAAAGGAAUUGACGGGGACCCGCACAAGCGGUGGAGCAUGUGGUUUAAUUCGAAGUAACGCGAAGAACCUUACCUGCUCUUGACAUCCCGGUGACCGGCAUGUAAUGAUGCCUUUUCUUCGGAACACCGGUGACAGGUGGUGCAUGGUUGUCGUCAGCUCGUGUCGUGAGAUGUUGGGUUAAGUCCCGCAACGAGCGCAACCCUUAUCUUCAGUAGCCAGCAAUUCGGAUGGGCACUCUGGAGAGACUGCCAGGGAUAACCUGGAGGAAGGUGGGGAUGACGUCAAAUCAUCAUGCCCCUUAUGAGCAGGGCUACACACGUGCUACAAUGGCGUAAACAAAGGGAAGCGAGCCUGCGAGGGUAAGCAAAUCUCAAAAAUAACGUCUCAGUUCGGAUUGUAGUCUGCAACUCGACUACAUGAAGCUGGAAUCGCUAGUAAUCGCGAAUCAGCAUGUCGCGGUGAAUACGUUCCCGGGUCU
RNAcentral lists this ribosomal RNA (1348 nucleotides) under uncultured bacterium. RNAcentral's name for it is "bacterial SSU rRNA". It matches the Rfam family "Bacterial small subunit ribosomal RNA", at positions 27 to 1381 of the family's 1533-position model. The record is from RNAcentral.